CAAGUCGCACGAGAAAGGGAGCAAUCCUAAGUAAAGUGGCGUACGGGUGAGUAACACGUGGAUAAUCUACCUUUUAGUGGGGAAUACCCCCGGGAAACUGGGGACAAUACCGCAUAAGCUCGUAAGAGGAAAGCAGCAAUGCGCUGAAAGAGGAGUCCGCGGCUGAUUAGCUAGUUGGCGGGGUAACGGCCCACCAAGGCGAAGAUCGGUAGCCGGCCUGAGAGGGCACACGGCCACACUGGCACUGAAACACGGGCCAGACUCCUACGGGAGGCAGCAGUGGGGGAUCUUGCACAAUGGAGGAAACUCUGAUGCAGCGACGCCGCGUGAGCGAUGAAGCCCUUCGGGGUGUAAAGCUCUUUCGACGGGAACGAUAAUGACGGUACCCGAAGAAGAAGCUGCGGCUAACUACGUGCCAGCAGCCGCGGUAAUACGUAGGCAGCAAGCGUUGUUCGGAAUUACUGGGCGUAAAGAGUGUGUAGGCGGUGUUCUAAGUCUGUUGUGAAAUCUCCCGGCUUAACUGGGAGGGUGCGGCGGAGACUGGAAUGCUAGAGUAUGGGAGAGGUAAGCGGAAUUCCUGGUGUAGCGGUGAAAUGCGUAGAUAUCAGGAGGAACACCUGUGGUGUAGACAGCUUACUGGACCAUGACUGACGCUGAGACACGAAAGCGUGGGUAGCAAACAGGAUUAGAUACCCUGGUAGUCCACGCCCUAAACGAUGCAUACUUGGUGUGAGCCAUUCAUUUGGUUCGUGCCGGAGCUAACGCGUUAAGUAUGCCGCCUGGGGAGUACGGUCGCAAGGCUGAAACUCAAAGGAAUUGACGGGGGCCCGCACAAGCGGUGGAGCAUGUGGUUCA
RNAcentral lists this ribosomal RNA (855 nucleotides) under uncultured Bacillota bacterium. Its description in RNAcentral is "bacterial SSU rRNA". It matches the Rfam family "Bacterial small subunit ribosomal RNA", at positions 58 to 948 of the family's 1533-position model. The record is from RNAcentral. Lineage: Bacteria; Bacillati; Bacillota.